RNAcentral lists this ribosomal RNA (255 nucleotides) under uncultured bacterium. RNAcentral describes it as "partial 16S ribosomal RNA". It matches the Rfam family "Bacterial small subunit ribosomal RNA", at positions 524 to 776 of the family's 1533-position model. The record is from RNAcentral.
UACGUAGGGCGCAAGCGUUUGUCCGGAAUCAUUGGGCGUAAAGAGCUCGUAGGUGGUCUGUUACGUCUGCUGUGAAAUCCUAGGGCUUAACCCUGGGCCUGCAGUGGAUACGGGCAGACUAGAGGUAGGUAGGGGAGAAUGGAAUUCCCGGUGUAGCGGUGAAAUGCGCAGAUAUCGGGAGGAACACCGGUGGCGAAGGCGGUUCUCUGGGCCUUACCUGACACUGAGGAGCGAAAGCGUGGGGGAGCGAACAGG